RNAcentral lists this ribosomal RNA (1256 nucleotides) under Strongyloides fuelleborni. Its description in RNAcentral is "SSU rRNA". It matches the Rfam family "Eukaryotic small subunit ribosomal RNA", at positions 138 to 1467 of the family's 1831-position model. The record is from RNAcentral. Lineage: Eukaryota; Metazoa; Nematoda; Chromadorea; Rhabditida; Strongyloididae.
GUUGGAUAACUGAGGUAAUUCUUGAGCUAAUACACGCUAUUUAUACCACAUUAGUGGUGCGUUUAUUUGAUUAAACCAUUUUAACGGUUGACUCAAAAUAUCCUUGCUGAUUUUGUUACUAAAACAUACCGUAUGUGUAUCUGGUUUAUCAACUUUCGAUGGUAGGGUAUUGGCCUACCAUGGUUGUGACGGAUAACGGAGAAUUAGGGUUCGACUCCGGAGAGGGAGCCUGAGAAACGGCUACCACAUCCAAGGAAGGCAGCAGGCGCGAAAAUUACCCAAUUUUAGUUCAAAGAGGUAGUGACGAAAAAUGACAACCAAAUAUUAUUAUUAAUAUUUGGAUUGAAAAUCUUCAAGUUUAAAUAACUUGUUGGUAAAGGAAAGGGCAAGUCUGGUGCCAGCAGCCGCGGUAAUACCAGCUUUCCAAGUGCAUAAAAUGAUUGUUGUGGUUAAAAAGCUCGUAGUUGGAUUAUAAAGAUUGUAUAAUGAGCAUCUUGGAUGUUUUAAUUUCAUUAUCAUCUUAUUAUUUUUAUUAUUUAUCGUUAAAAAUAAAUAAUAAACUGUUACUUUGAAUAAAUCAGAGGGUUUAAACCAGGCAUUUAUAUGCUUGUAUGGUCUAGCAUGGAAUAACACUAUAGAAAAAGUUAGUGUGGUUUCACUAAUCUUUUUCAUGAUUAAUAGGAACAAACGGGGGCAUUCGUAUCGCUACGUUAGAGGUGAAAUUCUUGGACCGUAGCGAGACGUCCUACUGCGAAAGCAUUUGCCAAGAAUGUUUUCAUUAAUCAAGAACGAAAGUUAGAGGUUCGAAGGCGAUCAGAUACCGCCCUAGUUCUAACCGUAAACUAUGCCUACUAGGUGUAUGAAUUAUUAGUUAUAAUAAUUUAUGGACCUUCUCGGAAACGAAAGUCUUUCGGUUCCGGGGGAAGUAUGGUUGCAAAGCUGAAACUUAAAGGAAUUGACGGAAGGGCACCACCAGGAGUGGAGCCUGCGGCUUAAUUUGACUCAACACGGGAAAACUCACCCGGGCCGGACACUAUAAGGAUUGACAGAUUGAUAGCUCUUUCAUGAUUUAGUGGUUGGUGGUGCAUGGCCGUUCUUAGUUCGUGGAUAUGAUUUGUCUGGUUGAUUCCGAUAACGAGCGAGACUUUUAUGUUAUAUUAAAUAAUAUUAUUUUAAAUUUUAUUUAAUAAUAUUUUAUUUUAAUAACAGAUUAAUAGUGUUUAACUAUUUGAGAGAGAGCAAUAACAGGUCUGUGA